This 210-nucleotide long non-coding RNA is filed under the name Carica papaya (papaya). RNAcentral's name for it is "long non-coding RNA (CPAP_LNC002787)". Lineage: Eukaryota; Viridiplantae; Streptophyta; Magnoliopsida; Brassicales; Caricaceae. The record is from RNAcentral.
AUUCCAAGUCAUGAGUUGGGUAAUUUCAUUCAUGAUUCUUCAAUUGUCUGGACCCGUAAGCGAUGACUUUGCUAUUUUAUAUUAACACACACUCUAAGCCCUUGACUGACGCAUCAGUACAUACAGAAUAACCCCUUAAUCCACUAGGUAGUGUUUGUAUUGGAGCCGUCACAAGUCAAUUUUUGAGUUCUCUGAAGCUAUUUUCACGGU